This 497-nucleotide ribosomal RNA is filed under the name uncultured bacterium. RNAcentral's name for it is "partial 16S ribosomal RNA". It matches the Rfam family "Bacterial small subunit ribosomal RNA", at positions 28 to 507 of the family's 1533-position model. The record is from RNAcentral.
GAUGAACGCUGGCGGCGUGCCUAAUACAUGCAAGUCGAGCGAACAGACGAGGAGCUUGCUCCUCUUACGUUAGCGGCGGACGGGUGAGUAACACGUGGAUAACCUACCUAUAAGACUGGGAUAACUUCGGGAAACCGGAGCUAAUACCGGAUAAUAUAUUGAACCACAUGGUUCAAUAUUGAAAGACGGAUUUGCUGUCACUUAUAGAUGGAUCCCCGCGUCAUUAGCAAGUUGUUAAGGAAACGGCUUACCAAGGCAACGAUGCUUAGCCGACCUGAGAGGGUGACCGCCCCAACGGGAACGGGACAACGGCCAAGAUUCCUAGGGGAGGAGGCGUAGGGGAACCUUCGGAAUUGGGGGAAGGCCUGACGGAGCACCCCGCGGGGAGGGAGGAGGGUUUCCGGAUCGUAAAACCUUGUUAUUAGGGAAAACGAAAGGUGUAAGUAAAUAUGCACGUAUUGACGGUAACUAAUCAGAAAGCCACGGCUAACUACGUG